UUUGCACGACCAAGUUAAGAUAUCUCUGGGAGGAUUUUCCAUUUAAACUAUAGUUUGGGUGUAAAUAUUUUUACAUCUAUCAUUAUAUUUAGUAAUGUUGAUUCAGACCGACCCGAAAGCUUCGCAAAUUAUAGCAGGUUAUUAAAACGCGAAACACAUUGAAUAGACUAACAAUUGAGAAGAAAGAACAAAUAUUUCGGAACGAGAUUAGUAUUUUUCUGGUAAAGUCGCUACAUUAUGAAGUUAGAAUUUCCGCAGGUGGAAUUUUCGACUUGAACUAUAAUUUGGCACUAAGGGUACACGAACCUUUCUAGAAAUUUAAAUUUAAUUAAGUACUUGAUCACUAUUUUUAUUUUCAGAUUUUUCUUUCUGUGACAACAUAUUUAGUCAUCUUAAUUCAAACCGAUCCUAACGCUUCAAGAAUAGUGUCUGAGAAGCUCUUUUGGAUCUAAGUGAUUUCAAACUCAGUCGACUAAUUUUUAUUAACAUAUUGAAAGAACACAAACAAGUUCAAAAAUUUUCUGUUUUAAUUCGAGAGAAUUUUCAACUUUUGAACUACCAAGAAAGAAAAAUUUAACUUGAGUACUAUUUUCACAAUAGUUCCAAAGCUUGCAUUUCAAAAGUUGGAAAUUUGUUAAAAUUCUUGAGAUACUCAUACACAAAAAUAUAUUCU
Zophobas morio is the source of this 673-nucleotide long non-coding RNA. RefSeq lists it as uncharacterized. NCBI's taxonomy places the organism in Eukaryota, Metazoa, Arthropoda, Insecta, Coleoptera, Tenebrionidae. The transcript is spliced from 4 exons. The record is from RefSeq and is a predicted model, not a curated record.